AUGUCACUCAUCUCCACAGCACUUGUGCUACUUGUUCCCCUAGGUCUUUACUUGUACAUGUGGUCUAGUACUCGUAGUAGAUCAAAUGACCCAGCAUCAGUGCUCCCCACAAAAUGGCCAAUAGUAGGCAUGCUCCCUGGUCUCGUGGCCAACAUCUACAACUUCCAUGAGUACAGCUAUGCGCUCCUCGCCGGAUCAGGCCUCAACUUCAAUGGGGACGGCCCGCCUGGGGCCGGGAUGCGGUUCUUCAUUACCUGCGACCCUGCCAACAUCCAGCACAUCUUCACAACCAACUACUCCAACUUCCCCAAGGGCGCCGAAUUCGCCGCCAUAUUCGACAUCAUGGCUGGUGGCUUCUUCACCAUCGAUGGCGAGCUGUGGCGCUUGCGCCGCAUGAAGUUCGUGGGCGUGAUCAGCAGCCCACGGUUUGCUGACCGUGUGGCAGCUCAUUGCCAUGACAAGGUGAAGAACCACCUCCUCCCGUUGCUUGCCCGCAUGGCGAGCACCAGCACUUCAUUUGACAUGCAAGAAGUAAUGGCGAGGUUAAUGUUUGACAUCACCACCAUGACAGUCUUUGGCGUUGACCCUGGCUUCCUGUCCUUGGACAUGCCUCCGAUUGACGCCUCCCUUGCCAUGGACACAGUCAUGGAGGUGGGAUUUCUCCGACACACCAUGCCGGCCUCUUUGUGGAAGACAUUGAGGUGGCUAAAUAUUGGUCCCGAGAGAAGGCUCCACGAAGCGAACAGAGUGCUCCGCAGGUUUGUCGUGGAUACGAUGGAGAGGGGGAAGACCAACGGAGGCCAAUAUGAGGAUGAAGAGAAUUGCCCAAAAGAACUGGCCCUUUAUCUCUCUACAUCAAUGACCCAGACUACGCUGACGAUGACUUGCUCUGUGGGACACUCAUUAGCUUCAUGCUCGCUGGGAGGGACACAAUCGGCACAACUCUGCCAUGGAUAUUCUACAGCCUCGCCCAGAACCCUAAUGUCGUGUCAAUCAUCCGUAAUGAACUCUCACCUAUUGCAGCGCACAAAGUAG
RNAcentral lists this ribosomal RNA (1035 nucleotides) under Triticum aestivum (bread wheat). RNAcentral describes it as "partial small subunit ribosomal RNA". The record is from RNAcentral. Lineage: Eukaryota; Viridiplantae; Streptophyta; Magnoliopsida; Poales; Poaceae.